GGCAGCUGACGAGUCCGUCAACUGACGCUAAAGCUCGAAAGUGCGGGUAUCGAACAGGAUUAGAUACCCUGGUAGUCCGCACGGUAAACGAUGGAUGCCCGCUUUUGGCGAUACAAUGUCAGCGGACAAGCGAAAGCGUUAAGCAUCCCACCUGGGGAGUACGCCGGCAACGGUGAAACUCAAAGGAAUUGACGGGGGCCCGCACAAGCGGAGGAACAUGUGGUUUAAUUCGAUGAUACGCGAGGAACCUUACCCGGGCUUGAACUGCAGCAGAACGAUUGAGAGAUCAUGAGGUCCUUCGGGGACUGCUGUGGAGGUGCUGCAUGGUUGUCGUCAGCUCGUGCCGUGAGGUGUCGGCUUAAGUGCCAUAACGAGCGCAACCCUUUUCCUUAGUUGCCAUCAGGUUAUGCUGGGCACUCUGGGGAUACUGCCACCGUAAGGUGUGAGGAAGGUGGGGAUGACGUCAAAUCAGCACGGCCCUUACGUCCGGGGCUACACACGUGGACCGGCGGUGUGUACAGAGAGCGGGCAGCCGGCAACGUCCGUAUAAUCAUGAAAGCCAUCCUCAGUUCGGAUGCGUGAUGCAACCCGACGCCAUGA
RNAcentral lists this ribosomal RNA (600 nucleotides) under uncultured bacterium. RNAcentral's name for it is "bacterial SSU rRNA". It matches the Rfam family "Bacterial small subunit ribosomal RNA", at positions 720 to 1323 of the family's 1533-position model. The record is from RNAcentral.